Molecule: RNase P RNA, 366 nt
Filed under: Brevibacterium gallinarum
Lineage: Bacteria; Bacillati; Actinomycetota; Actinomycetes; Micrococcales; Brevibacteriaceae
Description: Brevibacterium sp. Re57 RNase P RNA component class A
Rfam family: Bacterial RNase P class A
About the family: Ribonuclease P (RNase P) is a ubiquitous endoribonuclease, found in archaea, bacteria and eukarya as well as chloroplasts and mitochondria. Its best characterised activity is the generation of mature 5'-ends of tRNAs by cleaving the 5'-leader elements of precursor-tRNAs.
Source: RNAcentral
UCAGGUCGCCGGACGGUCGCGGCAGCAGAUGCUGACGAGGAACGUCCGGGCUCCGCAGAGCACGGCGGUGGGUAACGCCCACCCGGGGCAACUCGCGGGACAGUGCCACAGAAAGCAGACCGCCGGCCAGUGGCCGGUAAGGGUGAAAGGGUGGUGUAAGAGACCACCGGGUGCCAGGUGACUGGGAUCGCACGGUAAACCCCGCCGGGAGCAAGAUCGCACAGACAGCGCCUGACGGCUGCUCGCUGAAGCUGUCGGGUGGAUCGCUUGAGGGCAUCGGCAACGGUGCUCCUAGACAGAUGACCGUCACGCAGACCGGGGUGACCCGCCUGCGGACAGAACCCGGCGUACAGGCGGCCUGACCUC